Molecule: long non-coding RNA, 253 nt
Filed under: Oncorhynchus mykiss (rainbow trout)
Lineage: Eukaryota; Metazoa; Chordata; Actinopteri; Salmoniformes; Salmonidae
Description: lncRNA (ENSOMYG00000064159.1)
Source: RNAcentral
GCCUUUAUGUCACAACAUUACUGAGACUUUAUGGUAACAUUAUUACAUAGACUUUAUAGUAACAACAUUACAGAGCCUUUAUAGUAAGUAACAACAUUACAGAGCCUUUAUAUAACAACAUUACAGAGCCUUUAUGUAACAACAUUACAGAUAAUUUAUGUAACAACAUUACAGAGAAUCUAUGUAACAACAUUACAGAGCCUUUAUGUAACAACAUUACAGAGCCUUUAUGUAACAACAUUACAGAGAAUUU